RNAcentral lists this ribosomal RNA (494 nucleotides) under uncultured bacterium. RNAcentral describes it as "partial 16S ribosomal RNA". It matches the Rfam family "Bacterial small subunit ribosomal RNA", at positions 28 to 507 of the family's 1533-position model. The record is from RNAcentral.
GACGAACGCUGGCGGCGCGCUUAACACAUGCAAGUCGAACGGAAAGGCCUGCUUUCCCUUGUGGCUUGCGGGUACUCGAGUGGCGAACGGGUGAGUAACACGUGAGUGAUCUGCCCCCAACUUGGGUAUAAGCCUGGGAAACUGGGUCUAAUUCCCGAUAGGACUGCAGGGUGGUGCCUGUGAUGGAAAACGAUCUUCUAGUGGUGGGGGAUGAGCUCGCGGCCUAUCAGCUUGUUGGGGGGGUAAUGGCCUACCAAGGCGGCGACGGGUAGCCGGCGGGGGAGGGUGGACGGGGACAUUGGGACUGGGACACGGCCCAGACUGCUACGGGAGGCAGGAGUGGGGAAUAAUGGACGAAAGGCGGAAGCCUGAAGCAGGGACGAGGGGAGGGGGAUGUCGGCCUGCGGGUUGUAGUCUCCUGUGGAGCGCGAGGAAGCCAGUUGGUUGGAAGGGUGGUGACGGUAGUGGUAGAAGAAGCACCGGCUAACUACGUG